RNAcentral lists this long non-coding RNA (272 nucleotides) under Homo sapiens (human). RNAcentral describes it as "HSALNT0280204". Lineage: Eukaryota; Metazoa; Chordata; Mammalia; Primates; Hominidae. The record is from RNAcentral.
CAUUUCAGGAGGGCGGAGCAGCAAGCAAUCAAGUUCAAGCUUUAUGUGCAUACCCUGAUAAAGCUGGUGUGGAAUAGAGGAGACAGAAGAGCUUACUUCUCUCUAGGAGGAGGGAGAGUAUCUGAAAAAGCUCCAGAGAGGAAGGCACUCUUGAAUUGCAACUUAGGUGUUUUCCUCAUUUUCCAGUUUUUGAGGUCACCUACAGGAAUUGCUUCUCUUAGCAAGGCAUCGUCUCCUGUGCAAAGUCUUCACAGAUGCCAACUGCCCCUGGC